This is a regulatory RNA element of 105 nucleotides. It matches the Rfam family "23S methyl RNA motif". The record is from Rfam.
UUUUCAUAGGCUUUUCUCAGAAGAUAUUUUGAUAAAAGGUUAUGAUCAAAGGUCUUACUAACGUAACGUUUUGCUGUGAUUGCCACCGAAACGAUGCGUUUUUUU